This 253-nucleotide ribosomal RNA is filed under the name uncultured bacterium. RNAcentral describes it as "partial 16S ribosomal RNA". It matches the Rfam family "Bacterial small subunit ribosomal RNA", at positions 524 to 776 of the family's 1533-position model. The record is from RNAcentral.
UACGGGGGGUGCGAGCGUUGUCCGGAAUCACUGGGCGUAAAGGGCGCGUAGGUGGCGUCGUAAGUCUGUGGUGAAAGCCCGGAGCUCAACUCCGGGUCUGCCGCGGAUACUGCGAGGCUUGAGUGCUGUAGAGGGGGGUAGAAUGCCGGGUGUAGCGGUGGAAUGCGUAGAGAUCCGGCAGAAGACCGGUGGCGAAGGCGGCCCCCUGGGCAGUAACUGACACUGAGGCGCGACAGCGUGGGGAGCAAACAGG